This 716-nucleotide unclassified non-coding RNA is filed under the name Hevea brasiliensis (rubber tree). Lineage: Eukaryota; Viridiplantae; Streptophyta; Magnoliopsida; Malpighiales; Euphorbiaceae. The record is from RNAcentral.
GUCUUAGUUCUCUGCAGCUACAUUACACUUCCAUUAUAUGCCCUUGUAACUCAGAUGGGUUCACAUAUGAAGAAAUCAAUCUUUGAUGAACAAACAAGUAAGGCCCUUAAGAAGUGGCAUAUGGCUGUGAAAAAGAGGCACAAGAAAGGAGGGAAGUCUCCCACUAUGACUUUGGGUGGAAGUGCAAGUCCAGUCUCAACAGUACACUCUUCUGGACACACACUGCACCGUUUCAAAACCACUGGACACUCAAGCCGCUCAUCAUACGCCUAUGAGGACCAGGAAAUGUCUGAUAUGGAAGCUGAGACAUUGUCACCCACAUCGUCCACAACCAACUUGAUUGUAAGAACCAGCCAAGAUGAUGAAGCUGCUGAAUUAAGCGAACCCCACCACGACGAAGAAACAAGCAAUGAAGAUGACUUCUCUUUUGUCAAGCCUGCUGUACCGAAACAGCCAUGAAGAGGCAAAAUUUUCCAUGUAUAUGCCAUGGCACCCCUUUGUACCUGUAGGUCUGAGAAAACAUUAUAGUUGUAUGAACGCAGUUUGCUAAAUACAGCAGCUUUUUUUUCUGCUUGUCCAUAUUUACUGGAUUUAGCAUCCAGCAGUUCUCCUUCAUCAUGUACUCUACAUUUUGAUUCAGCCAGGAUGAACUAGGAGAUUCAACUCAAAGCUAUUCGGAACAUUUAUAUUUUGUUUCAGAAAUAUUAUACAAUAGC